Molecule: ribosomal RNA, 1725 nt
Filed under: Legionella pneumophila
Lineage: Bacteria; Pseudomonadati; Pseudomonadota; Gammaproteobacteria; Legionellales; Legionellaceae
Description: partial 23S ribosomal RNA
Rfam family: Bacterial large subunit ribosomal RNA
Source: RNAcentral
GCGCACGUGGUAGGGGAGCGUUCUGUAGGCUGAUGAAGGUGCAUUGAGAAGUGUGCUGGAGGUAUCAGAAGUGCGAAUGCUGACAUGAGUAACGAUAAUGUGGGUGAAAAGCCCACACGCCGGAAGUCCCAGGUUUCCUGCACGACGUUAAUCGGAGCAGGGUGAGUCGGCCCCUAAGGCGAGGCUGAAGAGCGUAGUCGAUGGGAACCAGGUUAAUAUUCCUGGACUUUUUAUAAGUGGUGAAGUGGGGACGAAGAAGGCUAGGUGAGCCAGGCGUUGGUUGUCCUGGUACUUGCAUGUAGGGGGGAAGACUUGGCAAAUCCGGUUUUCCAUAACUCUGAGGUGCGAAGUGGUUCUGACCUUUUGGUACAGAGAAGUCAUUGAUGCCCGGCUUCCAGGAAAAGCUGCUAGCCAUAACUUAUAGAGAACCGUACCGCAAACCGACACAGGUGGACAGGUAGAGAAUACUAAGGCGCUUGAGAGAACUCGGGUGAAGGAACUAGGCAAAAUGGUACCGUAACUUCGGGAGAAGGUACGCCCUUUCUGGUGAUGGGAUUUACUUUCAGAGCUGGAGAGGGCCGCAGAGACCAGGUGGCUGCGACUGUUUAUUAAAAACACAGCACUCUGCAAAUUCGUAAGAAGACGUAUAGGGUGUGACGCCUGCCCGGUGCCGGAAGGUUAAUUGAUGGGGUUAUCUUCGGAGAAGCUCUUGAUCGAAGCCCCGGUAAACGGCGGCCGUAACUAUAACGGUCCUAAGGUAGCGAAAUUCCUUGUCGGGUAAGUUCCGACCUGCACGAAUGGCGUAACGAUGGCCACACUGUCUCCACCCGAGACUCAGUGAAAUUGAAAUCGCUGUGAAGAUGCAGUGUACCCGCGGCUAGACGGAAAGACCCCGUGAACCUUUACUAUAGUUUUGCACUGGACUUUGAUGAUGACUGUGUAGGAUAGGUGGGAGGCUGUGAAGUGAGGACGCUAGUUCUCAUGGAGCCGCCCUUGAAAUACCACCCUGUUGUUAUUGAGGUUCUAACUUGGUCCAGUAAUCCUGGAUGAGGACAGUGUAUGAUGGGUAGUUUGACUGGGGCGGUCUCCUCCCAAAGAGUAACGGAGGAGCACAAAGGUACCCUCGGUACGGUCGGACAUCGUACCAAGAGUGUAAAGGCAAAAGGGUGCUUGACUGCGAGAGUGACGGCUCGAGCAGGAACGAAAGUUGGUCUUAGUGAUCCGGUGGUUCUGAAUGGAAGGGCCAUCGCUCAACGGAUAAAAGGUACUCCGGGGAUAACAGGCUGAUACCGCCCAAGAGUUCAUAUCGACGGCGGUGUUUGGCACCUCGAUGUCGGCUCAUCACAUCCUGGGGCUGAAGCAGGUCCCAAGGGUAUGGCUGUUCGCCAUUUAAAGUGGUACGCGAGCUGGGUUUAGAACGUCGUGAGACAGUUCGGUCCCUAUCUGCCGUGGGCGUAGGAAAAUUGAGAGGAGCUGCUCCUAGUACGAGAGGACCGGAGUGGACGAACCUCUGGUGCACCGGUUGUCACGCCAGUGGCAUGGCCGGGUAGCUAAGUUCGGACGGGAUAACCGCUGAAAGCAUCUAAGCGGGAAGCCUCCCUCAAGAUGAGUUUUCCCAUGAAGCCCGUUGAAGACUACGACGUUGAUAGGCAAGGUGUGGAAGCGCAGUAAUGCGUGAAGCUAACUUGUACUAAUUGGCUGAUUGUCUUGACCAUAUAAUCUGAG